This 464-nucleotide ribosomal RNA is filed under the name uncultured Klebsiella sp. RNAcentral's name for it is "bacterial SSU rRNA". It matches the Rfam family "Bacterial small subunit ribosomal RNA", at positions 338 to 795 of the family's 1533-position model. Lineage: Bacteria; Pseudomonadati; Pseudomonadota; Gammaproteobacteria; Enterobacterales; Enterobacteriaceae. The record is from RNAcentral.
CCUACGGGUGGCAGCAGUGGGGAAUAUUGCACAAUGGGCGCAAGCCUGAUGCAGCCAUGCCGCGUGUGUGAAGAAGGCCUUCGGGUUGUAAAGCACUUUCAGCGGGGAGGAAGGCGGUGAGGUUAAUAACCUCAUCGAUUGACGUUACCCGCAGAAGAAGCACCGGCUAACUCCGUGCCAGCGGCCGCGGUAAUACGGAGGGUGCAAGCGUUAAUCGGAAUUACUGGGCGUAAAGCGCACGCAGGCGGUCUGUCAAGUCGGAUGUGAAAUCCCCGGGCUCAACCUGGGAACUGCAUUCGAAACUGGCAGGCUAGAGUCUUGUAGAGGGGGGUAGAAUUCCAGGUGUAGCGGUGAAAUGCGUAGAGAUCUGGAGGAAUACCGGUGGCGAAGGCGGCCCCCUGGACAAAGACUGACGCUCAGGUGCGAAAGCGUGGGGAGCAAACAGGAUAGAUACCCUUGUAGUC